UCUGAAUCAGAUAAUAGAAGCCAUAUGGACUCUAAUACUAGUCUCUCUUACCUCUUCAAUGAAGCACAUUUCUCCAGGAGAAAACAAAUACAAAAACAGAUCCCAAUGAGGAUGGAGGCAACUGACAAUGUAAAAGGUUAAAGAUAGUCCCAAGAAGAUGCACGGUUGAAACUUCUCCCUGGUCACACAAAUGUACAAGACCUUCUGUCCAAGGGAAAGCAACCCUGCGGAAGGGUUGGAAAGACUGGAUUACUACAGCACCAUAAGAAGGAUGGGUUACCUCUGAUGUCAGGAAUCAUCAAUGAUGAGAGGAAAGACCUGCUGCUGCUUCCACUGAAAGAAGCCCUUCCUCCACCUGUACAGGAAAAUGGAGGGAAUGCCAUGAAGGGAUAUUCAAUGUUUUACUCCUUCUAUAUCCCUUCCCACACUAGGGCACAAUUUCACCCCUGUAGCUAGCUUUGCAGCUCCAGAGAUGACUCAAGUGUUUGGGGCUUCAGUUAGAAAUGAGAGUGCUCAGUACCUCACAGGACGUACUAUGGCCCUGAUCAAGCCACAUAUUUUCUUGCAAAUAUGUGUUAGCCUAAAAUGUGCUACAUGAUCUAGGUUUUUAAAUAGUCUGUGAGCCCUCUAGUGGGUUUCACUGUGUUCUAUAUUGGU
Mauremys reevesii (Reeves's turtle) is the source of this 657-nucleotide long non-coding RNA. RefSeq lists it as uncharacterized. The transcript is spliced from 4 exons. The record is from RefSeq and is a predicted model, not a curated record. NCBI's taxonomy places the organism in Eukaryota, Metazoa, Chordata, Testudines, Geoemydidae.